Long non-coding RNA from Homo sapiens (human), 1464 nucleotides. Ensembl annotates it as CCDC26 long non-coding RNA. Its record names the gene CCDC26. The record is from Ensembl. Lineage: Eukaryota; Metazoa; Chordata; Mammalia; Primates; Hominidae.
CAAAGAAGGUGAUGCCGAAGCUGAGGUCGGAAAUUACGAAGAUCAGCUAUCAAACUUGGAAAUCAUGUCUUAGAGAUCAAGGAGCCAAGAGAUGAGACAAGCCUGGGUUCCUAGGUGAUAGGGUGUGGCUGUGUCCCCACCCAAAUCUCGUCUUGAAUUGUAGCUCCCAUAAUCCCCACAUGUUGUGGAGGGACCCUGUGGAAGAACUACCUCAGGAACAUACCAGGAAAGCUGAGAGAAUCCAAAGACCCUUUGAAGGACCUGGAUCACUGCUGCAGGCUCCUUGAGAUGCCGAAAAACUAUGUACCCAUAGGGUCAAGCUCCAGCACAGAGACCCAUCCUGGGAUGCAGGACUUGGUGCCAGGGAAGUCCCAGCAUCUACUUGUUUCCAAAGUUAUUUGGGUCAGCAUUUUCCUCCACCCACCACUUAAAACUGAUUUGUUUCAUACAUUUGAAAUGUAUGAAAAGCCAGAAAUCCAGGACCCACCCUGGCCUGCUCCCUUUUUCUCACCUACUGUGUUAAGGAUAAGUCAAUUGAGCUUCACUUCUCUAAUUGAAAUCACCGUGCUGAUGGAGUCUGUCUGUGGAAAUGAAAGGUGGCUACCAUAAUCUGUUGGGAGUUGAAUUAAUCCUCUGGGAGUGAGGCUGACCUAAUUACUCAGAAAUACUGGGCUUGCUUUCAUUCUGUGGAAUACAGCCAUGAGAAAGAGGCCAGCAUGCCAUUUCCUAAUCUUUUCUUGAAUUGCCUGAAACUCACCUAACAUGAAACUGAGAAGCCUUUUCAUUUGAAAGUGGUAUUUCUUAUGUUUUUUAUCUUUUUGCUUGAAAGUAUUCUUAAACUAAAGAAAGGAGAAACAGAAAAGGUGAAGAAGCCAAGAGGCUGGAGUUUCCUUUUGAAUGGAUAUUCAUCCAUGAAGCUGUUGAUUCUGUUUUUCUGUUCCUCCAGAUGUCUACACUUUUACCUCUGCUUGCCUGAUACAACCACCACCAGUCACCUCACAGAAUAACUCACUCCUUAAGAAUCUGAUCAGGAAUCAGCCUUCCCUGAUCACAAACACUGAGUUUAGAAGUCCCUCCACAGUGUCCCCCGUAACCCUGUGCUACCUCACUGCCUCAUAGUUUAGUGCCGUUUGUGUACAUGCCUAUCUUCGUCCAUGGAUCCAGAACAACUUGUAAAAAUGACUGUACUUAUCACCUUCAGUAUUCAAUGACUAAACUAUAAUUUUAACAUAUCUGGCAGAAUGAAUCACUUGGGGAUUUCUGCCAACACUACCAAUAUAUUACUCCUAAUUUGUAAUUAUUACUUAGCAUGGAUUAUAGUACCGGCUGUUGGAGAGCCAAUGUGGCAGACCCUAAGUGGAAUAAAAUGUCAGUAGCAGUCUAGGAGCAUAUAUUUAUUGGAAUAGAUCAUUCAUUCAUUUGUUCAUUAACUAAUUUGUUCAUUAAAUAAACAUUUAUUAAGCA